Molecule: non-coding RNA, 21 nt
Filed under: Caenorhabditis elegans
Lineage: Eukaryota; Metazoa; Nematoda; Chromadorea; Rhabditida; Rhabditidae
Source: RNAcentral
UAUUAUGACGUUAAAAAAAAC